RNAcentral lists this ribosomal RNA (833 nucleotides) under uncultured Planctomycetota bacterium. RNAcentral describes it as "bacterial SSU rRNA". It matches the Rfam family "Bacterial small subunit ribosomal RNA", at positions 58 to 898 of the family's 1533-position model. Lineage: Bacteria; Pseudomonadati; Planctomycetota. The record is from RNAcentral.
CAAGUCGAACGAAUGCUGGCUUUGUAGCAAUACCGAGCCAGAGGAAGUGGCGAAAGGGGCAGUAAUGCGUGGAUAACCUACCUUGGGGUUGGGCAUAGCCGUUCUAACGGACGGGUAAUUCCCAGAGAUUCAGCGGGGCGGCAUCGUUCUGCUGGGAAAGAAUUUCGCCUCGAGAGGGGUCCACGUGCUAUUAGCUAGUUGGUGAGGUAACGGCUCACCAAGGCUAAGAUGGCUAGCGGGUGUGAGAGCACGACCCGCGCCACUGGCACUGAGACACUGGCCAGACACCUACGGGUGGCUGCAGUCGAGGAUCUUCGUCAAUGGGCGCAAGCCUGAACGAGCGACACCGCGUGCGCGAUGAAGGCCUUCGGGUUGUAAAGCGCGAAAGUGGGGAUAAAGCCGAAAGGUUGAUAGAUCCACAGUAAGGACGGGCUAAGUUCGUGCCAGCAGCCGCGGUAAGACGAACUGUCCUAACGUUGUUCGGAAUCACUGGGCUUAAAGGGCGCGUAGGCGGUCCGACAAGUCAGGGGUGAAAUCCUGCAGCUUAACUGCAGAAGUGCCUUUGAUACUGUCGGUCUUGAGGGAGAUAGGGGUGUGCGGAACUCACAGGGGAGCGGUGAAAUGCGUUGAUAUUGUGAGGAACGCCGGAGGCGAAAGCGGCGCACUGGAUCUCUUCUGACGCUGAGGCGCGAAAGCUAGGGGAGCAAACGGGAUUAGAUACCCCGGUAGUCCUAGCCCUAAACGAUGAGUACUAGAUUGUAGACUUACAUGGGUUUACAGUCGAAGCAAAAGUGUUAAGUACUCCGCCUGGGGAGUAUGGUCGCAAGGCUGAA